AGGUAACGGAGGCGCUCAAAGGUUCCCUCAGAAUGGUUGGAAAUCAUUCAUAGAGUGUAAAGGCAUAAGGGAGCUUGACUGCGAGACCUACAAGUCGAGCAGGGUCGAAAGACGGACUUAGUGAUCCGGUGGUUCCGCAUGGAAGGGCCAUCGCUCAACGGAUAAAAGCUACCCCGGGGAUAACAGGCUUAUCUCCCCCAAGAGUUCACAUCGACGGGGAGGUUUGGCACCUCGAUGUCGGCUCAUCGCAUCCUGGGGCUGUAGUCGGUCCCAAGGGUUGGGCUGUUCGCCCAUUAAAGCGGUACGCGAGCUGGGUUCAGAACGUCGUGAGACAGUUCGGUCCCUAUCCGUCGUGGGCGUAGGAAAUUUGAGAGGAGCUGUCCUUAGUACGAGAGGACCGGGAUGGACAUACC
RNAcentral lists this ribosomal RNA (413 nucleotides) under Staphylococcus aureus. Its description in RNAcentral is "partial 23S ribosomal RNA". It matches the Rfam family "Bacterial large subunit ribosomal RNA", at positions 2295 to 2707 of the family's 2925-position model. The record is from RNAcentral. Lineage: Bacteria; Bacillati; Bacillota; Bacilli; Caryophanales; Staphylococcaceae.